UACGUAGGGGGCAAGCGUUGUUCGGAAUUACUGGGCGUAAAGGGCGCGUAGGCGGCACAGCAAGUCGGGAGUGAAAGCCCGGGGCUCAACCCCGGAACUGCUUUCGAAACUGCUGAGCUAGAGUACAGAAGGGGCAACCGGAAUUCCCAGUGUAGCGGUGAAAUGCGUAGAUAUUGGGAAGAACACCUGAGGCGAAGGCUGGUUGCUGGGCUGAUACUGACGCUGAGGCGCGAAAGCCAGGGGAGCAAACGGG
This 253-nucleotide ribosomal RNA is filed under the name uncultured bacterium. Its description in RNAcentral is "partial 16S ribosomal RNA". It matches the Rfam family "Bacterial small subunit ribosomal RNA", at positions 524 to 776 of the family's 1533-position model. The record is from RNAcentral.